Molecule: RNA transcript, 1524 nt
Organism: Brachypodium distachyon (stiff brome)
Lineage: Eukaryota; Viridiplantae; Streptophyta; Magnoliopsida; Poales; Poaceae
Exons: 6
Source: RefSeq, a predicted model, not a curated record
ACCGGCCCACCGUCGUCGUUGGAACAGGAUGGGGCGAGGCUGCGCGAUUGCUCUCGCGGCGGCGGCGGCGGCGCUGCUGGUGUCGCUGCCUAUGCUGCUGGUGUUGCCGCCGGACGCGGACACGUACGAGCAGGAGAGCCGCCGGAUGUUCGUGGAGUGGAAGGCCAGGUACAAGAAGACCUAUAAAUACGCCGGCGAAGAGGAGUGCCGGUACGCGUUGUUCAAGGAGAGCCGCUGCCGCGUCGCCUGGGCCAGGGCCGACGGGGUGACCACAUCUGGCCUCAACGGUCUCAGCGCCCUCGCCAAUGAGGAGAUCCAGCGCGGGUACAGGGUCCGGAAGGGGGAGAAAUCGUACGAGCAGGAGACUCGACGGUUGUUCGUGGGGUGGAAGGCCAAGUACGGCAAGACCUACAGAGACGUCGGUGAGGAGGAAUGCCGGUACAGGUUGUUCAAGGGCAACCGCCGCGUCGUCGUCCGGCUCAACGCCGGGCAGAACGUGUACGGCAUCAACCAAUUCGGUGACCUCACCAACGAGGAGGUCCGGGAACACUGCUACCCGGAGAUGGUGGACCAAGAGCUGAGCGCCAGGUUUGCCGGUGCAUUGCUACGGAAGCGGAGUCUGGAGGAAGCGCUGUUCCUGGAGAUGAAGCACACAUGUGGAUCUGAACGUCACUUGUGUGUGUUGCUGGAGAAUUUUAGAAUAAAGAUGUUGCUAAUGAAACAUCGCUGUGCUAGGACAUAUGGUAGAAAUCUGAAUAUCAGAGUGGACAUUUUUUUAAAUCCAGCUGAGACGAAUGUUCUGUGUAGUGACUGGAAUGGCUGGAAAGAUCCAAUUAUCUGGUUUGAUGGCGCAACAGAUGCAGUUGGGAUUCAGUUUUUUUUCUGGAGAAUGUUCAUCCUAGAAUGAAGCUGCUGCAUCGGCUCUUUUUGGAUUGCCAGACUCAUUGUAUGCCAGACCGAAUACAUUUGGUGAACUUAUGCGAGCUAUCAUAUCUCCAUCCAGCAAAGUCCAAGAAGCAGUUGACUGGGCUUUGAAGGGUGCGAAUCCAGAUAUUGUUUUGCACACGGCCACACGCGCAUGAUGGCGAAUAGGCCAGUCCGAGCAAGAAAAGCUGCAGUUCUUUGUAUUAAGAGAGCCCUACAGAUUAGGAAUAUCAAGGGUGCACCUCUGGUGGCAUUGGUCUCAGACACACCAGCAUUUGUGAAGGAGAUAAAGUCAGACAUCAGAGAGUUUGCAGAGCUCUGAGGAAAACUGAAGGCCUGAAGCCCACACAGCUUUCAGCCCAUAUACGCACCCGGCUCCUAUUAAGUUACUAACCCAAGCUCGACUCCACCCGUCCACCAUCUAUCAUUCCCCAUUUCCCACUCUGAAAAAGUUGCGGCGGCUGCUUGGCGACGUGCGGCGACGAGCUUGGCGACUGGCGGCGGCGACGCCGUCGGCCAGUACUCCAGGCAGCAGGUCGCCACCGGUGACGAGGGAUGCUGAACCAGAAUGUCCUCCUCAAAUCCAUCUCCUACUCCACC